This 506-nucleotide ribosomal RNA is filed under the name uncultured bacterium. RNAcentral's name for it is "partial 16S ribosomal RNA". It matches the Rfam family "Bacterial small subunit ribosomal RNA", at positions 28 to 523 of the family's 1533-position model. The record is from RNAcentral.
GAUGAACGCUAGCUACAGGCUUAACACAUGCAAGUCGAGGGGUAACGAGAGGAAAGCUUGCUUUCCUUGUCGACGACCGGCGCACGGGUGAGUAACGCGUAUCCAACCUGCCCCCAACUAGGGAAUAACCUUGCGAAAGUAAGACUAAUACCCUAUAAUUUCCUCAGAUGCCAUCUGACGAGGAAUAAAGAUUUAUCGGUUGUGGAUGGGGAUGCGUCUGAUUAGCUUGUUGGCGGGGUAACGGCCCACCAAGGCAACGAUCAGUAGGGGUUCUGGGAGGAAGGUCCCCCACAUUGGAACUGAGACACGGUCCAAACUCCUACGGGAGGCAGCAGGUAGGAAUAUUGGUCAAUGGGCGGAAGCUUGAACCAGCCAAGUAGCGUGCAGGAUGACGGCCCUAUGGGUUGUAAACUGCUUCUAUACAGGAAUAAAGUUAGCCACGUGUGGUUAUUUGUAGGUACUGUAUGAGUAAGGACCGGCUAAUUCCGUGCCAGCCGCCGCAGUAA